Felis catus (domestic cat) is the source of this 2921-nucleotide long non-coding RNA. RefSeq lists it as uncharacterized. The record is from RefSeq and is a predicted model, not a curated record. NCBI's taxonomy places the organism in Eukaryota, Metazoa, Chordata, Mammalia, Carnivora, Felidae. The transcript has 2 exons.
ACCCCUGCUGCCUCUUUUUCAUUUUGCCUUCCUAUUUUCUCCUUCUUGCUCCAAAAAAUAAAUCAUUAAAAAAAAAUUCCUCAUAAAGUUAGGGAUUUCUAAAGGUGUAAUUCUUAGCCCUCUGCUCUUCAAUCUUGUUUUCCUUUUUGUUAUUCUUCCUUUCUCUCCUUCAUUCCUUCUUCAUUUCUCUCCUUUCUCCUUUUCUUCAUCCCUCCUGUCAUCUUGUGUUUCUUCCACACGUUGUCUCUCAACACUUCAACCAUUCUAUGCAGAAUACUCCUAAAUUUGUAUUUCUGGGUUUGGCCCUCCUGAAGCUCUUACUCUGCGUUGUAAUGGCUGAUUAUCCUUCUAUUACCUCAAAUCAAAUCUCUUCAAAAACAGUAUCCCAUCUUAUCCUCCAUUUUUGCUCUUUAGCUGAGCUUCCAUUUUUCCGUCAGUGAAAUCUGGAUACUGGAUAAUGGCUUCAAGAGCUGUAUGACCAUCCCUAAUAGUAUUGCCGUGAUCCUUCCAAGUUCCUUGGUUUAUUCGGGUCUCGAUUCCAUCUUCUUCUCUCUCUUUCUCCUCCUCUUACUCUCUCUCACACAUAAAAUUCACCAUCAUGCCAUCUAGCCAUAACGAAUAGUAGGAGCAUUCAUAUUCUCUCAGUCAUCCAAGAUUAAACUCGAGUUUUCUUGGACUUUUCUUUCUAUCUUGAUCCUCACAGCCAAUUAGAUUUCCAUACUUGCCUCAGCAGUACACUUUUCUUACUCCCUCUGUAAGACCUGAUGCCCUGUUCAUUGACUAUCAGUGUAGAGUUUUAUAGGGACUCACUCUAAGUUCUCUUUCCAUCUCUUCCAGUAUAUAACACAUGCUGGGGCCAAAUUAGACUUCCUGAACCAGAACUACACAGUAUCACUCCUUGGCAAUAAUACUGUCUGUGAGACCCUCAUUCCCUAAUGAACCAUUAAUUUUUCUGCAUCCUCUGUAAUGCCUUCCAACCUGAGUCUGUAGCCUACUACUCAACUGCCAGAGCUCUAUCCUCCACCUGUUAGGGUCCAAAACAGGCACAGAGCUCAUAGCAUUGCUUUUAUUCAGAAGUCCUGCCAUCCACUCUCGUGCUUAUCAAAAUCAUAUUCAUCUUUCUCAAAUGGGAACCUUCUUUAUGAAACCUUUCAGUUCCCUGUGGCGAGAUGUGCUCUGUUUUUCAGCCCCUGCUGUCCUCUGCCAGGAUCCAUACAACCCGGUUCUCUGCAUACCAUUUAUUAUAUUCCAGCCUGCUGGUCUUCUUUGGGUUCCUUUAAUAUGCCAAGCUCUUUCCUCUUUUAGGAUUAUCACAUUAGCUGCUUAGUGUACCUAGAAUGCUUUCCCUUUUCAUUAGAAUGUGUUGCUUCCAUAAUUGACAGCUCCUAUGAAAAUUUUUCUUUUCCCACCUUUUUAAAACAGAGUUUUAGAACCUCCUUGUAUGGCAAAGGGUUCUUUAUCACAUUAGUCUAUUGUCUUUUCCCCAACUGACUGACAACUCCAUGAGGAUAGAACAGAGCCCACAUCUGUUGUUUUAACCAGUGUUUUUACAACAGUUAUUGGAUAAGUGAAUGAAUGAAUGAAUGAAUGAGCAUUUUGUUUAUAAAAUUUCUUAUGUUCUACUCUGUAUAAUACUUUCGAAUAUGCCUGUCUUACCAUUUUUUAAGAUUUUAGUCCUUUGAAGUAAAAAGAAAAAACUUUGUAUUGUUUAUCUUGGUAUCCACUAGCCCCUAGUAUGGUGCCAAACAUUUAUGAGAUUAAUAAAUGUUUGCAGAAUUAAAUCAAUUUGGAUUAAACCUUCAGAACAAUAUUAAGUUAUUGCCAGGACAUCACAGAUGGUAAAUGGCAAUCUCCUUUGUUAAUAGCUUCCAAGGUUGAUGAUGAGAUAAAAUCAGUCAAGCAUCUAUCAAUAUGGGAAAAGCUCCUAAAUACGAAAUCCUCUGUUUUAAAGUCAUUGUUGCCUCAUUUGUCAUAUUAAAAUCCUGUGUUUCAUGUGCCCAUUCUUCCUUAAAGCAUCAAGUUUAUUUUUUAUGUGUCAUUGUAAAGAAGAUAGGCAUAGGGUAAUGAAAGGAAGGAGAAAGACCGUUAAGAAUAGGCUGUGUAUUUUUGGUAAUGUUUUCCUUGACCAAAGACUACGUGUCCAUGUGGUUUUUGCUCACUUCUCCUUACUUAAUCCCCUGACUUCAAUUUCUCAACCUACCUCUAAUGAGACACUGUGCGUUACAUUCAAGGCGAGUAACAAGGAGGCUGUAAAAACCUUGUGCAUUUCAAGGCCAUGUUGAGAAAGCUCCCCCAGUGUUCUGCAGGUGUUAAUUAUGACAGAAGCUAUCACAAAGGUGGCGAAUGUGGAGGAGGGGCUUGCUCCUCUGGUCUCCAUGCCUUGUAGUGCCCUCUAGUGCCUGUAAGGGAGAAAUAGGGAACCAAACAGCAGGUUGCCCUGGUUAUUGGAGAUGCUGUCUAUUAACCAAUAUACUUGAGUGGAAUGAGACAAUGGCAGACCCCAACAGAAGCAUUUUUAGUGUGCAGAAAUCUGUAUAAAUUCUAAACUAUUGUAUGCCCAUGAAGAUUAUGCCUGCUCUUUUUUGGUUCUUUUUUUAUUAAAGUUUAGUUGACGCACAAUGUUACAUUAAAGGUUGUACAAUGUAAUGAUUCCACUCCUCUAGAGGCUAUGCUAUGCUUAUCACAGGUGUAGCUACCUUCUGUCAGUAUGUAAUGCUAUUAUAAUACCAUUGACUAUAUUCCUUACGCUGUGCCUUUCAUGCUCAUACCUUAUUCAUCCAUAACUGGAAACUUGUUCCUCCCACUCCCCUUCACCCAUGUUGUCCAUCCCCAAACUCCUUCCCUUCUAGCAACCACCAGUUCUCUGUAUGGAUUUAUUUGUUUGUUUUAUCUUUUAGAUUACACAUAUAAGUGAAAUCAUA